GUAAACGGCGGCCGUAACUAUAACGGUCCUAAGGUAGCGAAAUUCCUUGUCGGGUAAGUUCCGACCUGCACGAAAGGCGUAACGAUUUGGGCACUGUCUCAACCAUGGACCCGGUGAAAUUGCACUAGUCGUGAAGAUGCGACUUACCCGCAGAAGGACGGAAAGACCCCGUGAACCUUUACUGCAGCUUGACAUUGGCUGCCGGUGCGUCGUGUAGAGGAUAGGUGGGAGACUAUGAACCAGGGACGCCAGUUUCUGGGGAGUCACCCUUGGAAUACCACCCUCGACGCUCUGGCAUCCUAACCCGUGGCCGUAAUCCGGCAUGGGGACCGUGUCAGGUGGGUAGUUUGACUGGGGCGGUCGCCUCCUAAAAUGUAACGGAGGCGCACGUAAGGUCUGCUCAAGAUGGUCGGUAACCACCUUUUUGAGUGCAAGAGCAUAAGCAGGCUUGACUGCGAGACGUACAUGUCGAGCAGAUGGGAAACCAGGUUCUAGUGAUCCGGCGGCUCAGAGUGGAAUGGCCGUCGCUCAACGGAUAAAAGGUACUCCGGGGAUAACAGGCUGAUCUUCCCCAAGAGUCCACAUCGACGGGAAGGUUUGGCACCUCGAUGUCGGCUCAUCGCAUCCUGGGGCUGUAGUAGGUCCCAAGGGUAUGGCCGUUCGCCAUUUAAAGCGGUACGCGAGCUGGGUUCAGAACGUCGUGAGACAGUUCGGUCCCUAUCCUCUGUGGGCGUAGGAAAAUUGAGGGAGGCUGCCCCUAGUACGAGAGGACCAGGGUGGACGGACCUCCGGUGAACGGGUUGUUAACCUAAUAGCACUGCCCGGUAGCUGAGUCCGGUUUGGAUAACCGCUGAAGGCAUCUAAGCGGGAAGCCAAUCCCAAGAUGAGUUUUCCUUUCGGUAAGACCCCUCGUAGACUACGAGGUGAUAGGCAGCAGAUGUAAGGCGUGUGAGCGCUUCAGUCGAGCUGUACUAAUCGGUCGAGCUCUUCUUAUU
Molecule: ribosomal RNA, 995 nt
Filed under: Atopobiaceae bacterium UBA1025
Lineage: Bacteria; Bacillati; Actinomycetota; Coriobacteriia; Coriobacteriales; Atopobiaceae
Description: bacterial LSU rRNA
Rfam family: Bacterial large subunit ribosomal RNA
Source: RNAcentral